CGAAAGCCUGACGGAGCAAUACCGCGUGAGGGAGGAAGGCUCUUGGGUUGUAAACCUCUUUUCUCAGGGAAGAAUUCAAUGACGGUACCUGAGGAAUCAGCAUCGGCUAACUCCGUGCCAGCAGCCGCGGUAAUACGGAGGAUGCAAGCGUUAUCCGGAAUGAUUGGGCGUAAAGCGUCCGCAGGUGGCAUUGAAAGUCUGCUGUCAAAGAGUCUGGCUCAACCAGAUAAAGGCAGUGGAAACUACAAAGCUAGAGUACGUUCGGGGCAGAGGGAAUUCCUGGUGUAGCGGUGAAAUGCGUAGAGAUCAGGAAGAACACCGGUGGCGAAAGCGCUCUGCUAGGCCGUAACUGACACUGAGGGACGAAAGCUAGGGGAGCGAAUGGGAUUAGAUACCCCAGUAGUCCUAGCCGUAAACGGUGGAUACUAGGUGUUGCUUGUAUCGACCCGAGCAGUACCGUAGCUAACGCGUUAAGUAUCCCGCCUGGGGAGUACGCAGGCAACUGUGAAACUCAAAGGAAUUGACGGGGGCCCGCACAAGCGGUGGAGUAUGUGGUUUAAUUCGAUGCAACGCGAAGAACCUUACCAGGGCUUGACAUGUCGCGAAUCCUUGUGAAAGCAGGGAGUGCCUUCGGGAGCGCGAACACAGGUGGUGCAUGGCUGUCGUCAGCUCGUGUCGUGAGAUGUUGGGUUAAGUCCCGCAACGAGCGCAACCCUCGUUUUUAGUUGCCAUCAUUAAGUUGGGCACUCUAGAGAGACUGCCGGUGACAAACCGGAGGAAGGUGGGGAUGACGUCAAGUCAGCAUGCCCCUUACGUCCUGGGCUACACACGUACUACAAUGCUACGAACAGAGGGCAGCAAGCAUGCGAAUGCAAGCUAAUCCCGGAAAUCGUAGCUCAGUUCAGAUCGCAGGCUGCAACUCGCCUGCGUGAAGUUGGAAUCGCUAGUAAUUGCAGGUCAGCAUACUGCAGUGAAUUCGUUCCCGGGCCUUGUACACACCGCCCGUCACACCAUGGAAGCUGGUAGUGCCCGAAGUCAUUACCCCAACCUUUCGGGGAGGGGAAUGCCUAAGGCAGGA
This 1078-nucleotide ribosomal RNA is filed under the name Stigonema cf. robustum CBFS A-027. Its description in RNAcentral is "bacterial SSU rRNA". It matches the Rfam family "Bacterial small subunit ribosomal RNA", at positions 376 to 1467 of the family's 1533-position model. The record is from RNAcentral. Lineage: Bacteria; Bacillati; Cyanobacteriota; Cyanophyceae; Nostocales; Stigonemataceae.